Molecule: ribosomal RNA, 433 nt
Filed under: uncultured bacterium
Lineage: Bacteria
Description: partial 16S ribosomal RNA
Rfam family: Bacterial small subunit ribosomal RNA
Source: RNAcentral
AACGAACGCUGGCGGCAUGCCUAACACAUGCAAGUCGAACGAUUCCUUCCGGCGGAGUUGCUCACGGGUGCGUCACGCAUUGGAAUCUCCCUUUCGGGUCUGAAUCACUGACGGCAACUUGUCCUAAUACCGGAUAACGUCGCAAAACCAAAGAUUUAUCACCGAAAGAUGACCCCGCGUUGGAUUAGCUAGUUGGUGAGGUAAAGGCUCACCAAGGCUACGAUCCUUAGCUGGUCUGAGAGGAUGAUCAGCCACACUGGGACUGAGACACGGCCCAGACUCCUACGGGAGGCAGCAGUGGGGAAUAUUGGACAAUGGGCGAAAGCCUGAGGCAGCAAGGCCGCGUGAGUGAUGAAGGACUGAGGGUCGUAAAGCUCUUUUACACGGGAAGAUAAUGACGGUACCGGGAGAAUAAGCCCCGGCUAACUACGUG